GCCAGAUAGAAAAUUUUUGCUGUUUCCAUGGCAACGACGGCCAUUUUGAAAAUUCGAAACUCAAAAGUUAAGUCUUCAUAAGCUAGGUAACAUUUGUUAUAAGUUUCAUUAAAUUUAAAGCAUUUUGAAGUUUUUCAUAAUUUUGCUGUUCCCAUGGUAACGGCGGCCAUUUUGAAUAUUCCAAAGUCAAACCCCCGCUGCAAUUUUUGCCCUCC
This 215-nucleotide long non-coding RNA is filed under the name Mytilus galloprovincialis (Mediterranean mussel). The record is from RNAcentral. Lineage: Eukaryota; Metazoa; Mollusca; Bivalvia; Mytilida; Mytilidae.